RNAcentral lists this ribosomal RNA (253 nucleotides) under uncultured bacterium. RNAcentral's name for it is "partial 16S ribosomal RNA". It matches the Rfam family "Bacterial small subunit ribosomal RNA", at positions 524 to 776 of the family's 1533-position model. The record is from RNAcentral.
UACGGAGGGGGCUAGCGUUGUUCGGAAUUACUGGGCGUAAAGUGCACGUAGGCGGCUUUGUAAGUUAGAGGUGAAAGCCCAGGGCUCAACCCUGGAAUUGCCUUUAAGACUGCAUCGCUUGAACAUCGGAGAGGUAAGUGGAAUUCCGAGUGUAGAGGUGAAAUUCGUAGAUAUUCGGAAGAACACCAGUGGCGAAGGCGACUUACUGGACGAUUGUUGACGCUGAGGUGCGAAAGCGUGGGGAGCAAACAGG